This 465-nucleotide ribosomal RNA is filed under the name uncultured bacterium. Its description in RNAcentral is "bacterial SSU rRNA". It matches the Rfam family "Bacterial small subunit ribosomal RNA", at positions 339 to 796 of the family's 1533-position model. The record is from RNAcentral.
CUACGGGAGGCAGCAGUGGGGAAUUUUGGACAAUGGGGGAAACCCUGAUCCAGCCAUGCCGCGUGUGUGAAGAAGGCCUUCGGGUUGUAAAGCACUUUCGGACGGAACGAAAUCGCACGGGCGAAUAUCUUGUGUGGAUGACGGUACCGUAAGAAGAAGCACCGGCUAACUACGUGCCAGCAGCCACGGUAAUACGUAGGGUGCGAGCGUUAAUCGGAAUUACUGGGCGUAAAGCGUGCGCAGGCGGCGUCGCAAGUCAGGCGUGAAAUCCCCGAGCUUAACUUGAGAAUUGCGCUUGAAACUACGAUGCUCGAGUGUGGCAGAGGGAGGUGGAAUUCCACGUGUAGCGGUGAAAUGCGUAGAGAUGUGGAGGAACACCGAUGGCGAAGGCAGCCUCCUGGGCUAACACUGACGCUCAUGCACGAAAGCGUGGGGAGCAAACAGGAUUAGAAACCCGUGUAGUCC